This 485-nucleotide ribosomal RNA is filed under the name uncultured bacterium. RNAcentral describes it as "partial 16S ribosomal RNA". It matches the Rfam family "Bacterial small subunit ribosomal RNA", at positions 28 to 523 of the family's 1533-position model. The record is from RNAcentral.
GAUGAACGCUAGCGGCAGGCCUAAUACAUGCAAGUCGAACGGUGUCUUCGGACAUAGUGGCGCACGGGUGCGUAACACGUAUGCAACCUACCUUACAUUGGGGGAUAGCCUUUCGAAAGGGAGAUUAAUACCGCAUAAGACAGUAGCUGGGCAUCCAGCAGCUGUUAAAGAUUUAUCGAUGUAAGCUGGGCAUGCGUCCAAUUAGCUAGUUGGUGAGGUAACGGCUCACCAAGGCAAUGAUUGGUAGGGGAACUGAGAGGUCAAUCCCCCACACUGGCACUGAGAUCAGGGCCAGACUCCUACGGGAGGCAGCAGUAGGGAAUAUUGGGCAAUGGACGCAAGUCUGACCCAGCCAUGCCGCGUGCAGGAUGAAGGCGUUAUGCGUUGUAAACUGCUUUUAUACAGGAAGAAACGACUCUUGCGAGAGGCAUUGACGGUACUGUAUGAAUAAGCACCGGCUAACUCCGUGCCAGCCGCCGCAGUAA